Molecule: long non-coding RNA, 2238 nt
Organism: Cyprinus carpio carpio
Lineage: Eukaryota; Metazoa; Chordata; Actinopteri; Cypriniformes; Cyprinidae
Source: Ensembl
AGCGGACUUGGAGGAUUAUAAUGUAACAAGAGCUUGUUCAAAUACUGAGGUGCUAAACCAUUCAGGGCUUUAUAAGUAAUAAGCAAGAUUUUAAAAUCUAUACGAUGUUUAAUAGGGAGCCAGUGCAGUGUUGACAGAACUAGGCUAAUAUGGUCAUACUUCCUGGUUCUAGUAAGAGUUUGUUUACUAAGUGUGCAGAACAAACACCCAAUAAAGCAUUACAAUAAUCUAACCUUGAGGUCAAAAAUGCAUGGAUUAACAUUACUGCAUUUGACAUUGAAAGCAUAGGCCGUAAUUUAACUUUAAUAUUUUUGAGAUGGAAAAAUGCAGUUUUACAAAUGCUAGAAAAGUGGCUUUCUAAGUAAAGGUUGCUAUCAAAUAGCACACCUAGGUUCCUAACUGAUGACGGAGAAUAGACAAAGCAGCCAUCAAGUCUUAGACAGCAUUCUAGGUUAUUACAUGCAGAGCUUUUAGGUCCUAUAAUUAACACCUCUGUUUUUUCAGAAUUUAGCACUAAGAAAUUACUCGUCAUCCAGUUUUUUAUAUCGACUAUGUAUUCUGUUAGUUUUUCAAAUUGGUAUGUUUGGCCAAUCCCCAUUUCUAAAUUACCCCUUUAAAGCUAACCAAAGAACAAAAUUCAACAUUUUUUCGAUAAUUAUUGAUCUAGAGAGUCCACAGAAUAUUACAGCAGUGGUUUGGUUCCGAUCGGGCGAAAAACCUAGGACUAGUUCGCAAAAGUAUGUUUUUAACAUAUUUGUGAAUAAUUCAUGAACGAUUUGACUGACAGUAAUGGUUCUUGAGGCAAAGUUGUGCAUUAUGAGGAGAUCUAUCAAAUGAUAUCCAUAUUGCAUGCAUAUGUGAAACGCCACGUGAUUACAGAGCCAAAAAACUCGUUAGCGCCAACUAGUAGCCGAUUUCUUUCAAAAUUCUUACAGACCUUUAGGGCCAUGAGUCGAACAUGCCUACCAAGUUUCGUUCUGAUUGACCUCCGUUAACCUUGUCUAAUAAUAGCUCAAAUUUCAUUGGCCAAUGGCGGCCAUGUUUUUUGAGAUACGCCAAUGUCCUCAUAGAUAUUUGUGCCCCUUCAGACAAAGAAACUGCAUACCAAUUUUCAAGUCGAUCGGACCAACGGUUGCCUAGUUAUAGCCAUUUAUGUGUUUUUUCUGUCUUAUAGCGCCCCCAAGUGGCAGAGGUGCGCAAUUUUUAUUUGACCAAAAAAAUUGAGCUUAUACACAUGUGUACCAAGUUUGGUUAAGAUAUUUCAUUCCGUUCAAGAGUUAUAGCUAAAAUAACAUUUGGCUCACGUUAGCAUAGACGCUUUUUGGCGUACUGUUUCGCGUAAGAAUCGAAAUUUCAACUUUUUUUCGAUAAUUAUUGAUAUUGAGUGUCCAGAGAAUAUUUCUGCAGUGGUUUGCUUCUGAUCGGGUUAAAAUCCUAGGACUAGUUCGCAAAAGUAGGUUUCGGAUAUAACACAAUUUUGCGGAAAAACCGAUGCGCCGUAGAGCGAAAAAAGCAGCAGAGCAAUUUUGUUCGGGCUAACCCAAGGAUUGCAACGAUGCCAUGUUUUUGAGUCUACGACAAACGGUUUACGAGCUACAGCCAAAAAUGUCUAAAAUUUUUGUUUUUUGCGCUGUAGCGCCCCCGUUUGGCCGAUUGGGGCGAGACUUUGAUAGGUUCUCCCCAAAUUGAGCUCUACAAUCUGGCCAAAUUUCAAGUCUCUAGGCCUUACGGUUUGGUCUGCACGAUCAGUUUUUGGGCAGAAUAAUAAUAAUAAUAAUAAUAAUAAUAAUAAUAAUAAUAAUAAUAAUAAUAAUAAUCCUAACAAUUACAAGAGGGUUUCAGCACUGCGUGCUUGAACCCCUAAUAAUAAUCCUAACAAUUACAAGAGGGUUUCAGCACUGCGUGCUUGAACCCCUAAUAAUUCAAAUAAAAUAAACAAUAAUAUACUUUAAAUUAACUUGUAUUAUUCUGUACAUUAGUGCUUAUCCACAAAAUCCAUACACAGAAAAAGUUGAAGCAUAAUCAUCUUUGAUGGAUGAGAUCAACAUUUAAAUAUGAAAUGAUUUGUAAUUUUACAUUUUUAACUAGAAUGUACUUUAAAUAUAAAAAAAAAAUGCAAGUAAGAAGCAGCAGCAAUCAAUCUGAUUAAAUAUUUUAUAUAUAUAAAAAAAGAAUAAUAAUAUAAAGAACAGACCAAAUUAUAGCAAAGGAAUUAGACAGUUAUAUUGCAUAAUUACA